Molecule: unclassified non-coding RNA, 336 nt
Filed under: Hevea brasiliensis (rubber tree)
Lineage: Eukaryota; Viridiplantae; Streptophyta; Magnoliopsida; Malpighiales; Euphorbiaceae
Source: RNAcentral
UGGUCAUGAAGGGCAAAGGCAACAAUAAUUAUAGCAAGAAUGGUAAUGGAGGAAAGAAAGGUGGAGGUGGUGAUGGGAAGAAUAGUCACAGCAAGGGAGGGAGUGAAAAACAAGAUGGUAAAGGUAAAAAUGGUGGCAAAAGUGGUAUUGGUGGGUUCUUGAGUUUUGGUAGGAAGAGUAAAAAUGGAAGAGAAGGCAGUACUGAUAAGAGCUUCAAUAAUGGCAGCUCAGCUGGAAACUAUAAUUCCAAUGGGGCCAAGAAAGGCGGAGGCAAAAAUGAUGGGGUCCAUGAUUCUUACAAAAUCAAACAAGGGUACCGUGAAAUUGAUGUUAACA